Capsicum annuum is the source of this 107-nucleotide non-coding RNA. The record is from Rfam. NCBI's taxonomy places the organism in Eukaryota, Viridiplantae, Streptophyta, Magnoliopsida, Solanales, Solanaceae.
UGUUGAUGAUGUGGACAGUCUCAUAGAAGAGCUUUGAACCUCUCCCAUGAAUGAUAUAAGUUCUCAUUUGUCUUUUAUUUGAAGCAUAUAAUCUCACUGCGCAGUUU